GACGAGCGCUGGCGGCGUGCCUAAUACAUGCAAGUUGAGCGAUGAAGAUUGGUGCUUGCACCAAUUUGAAGAGCAGCGAACGGGUGAGUAACGCGUGGGGAAUCUGCCUUUGAGCGGGGGACAACAUUUGGAAACGAAUGCUAAUACCGCAUAACAACUUUAAACAUAAGUUUUAAGUUUGAAAGAUGCAAUUGCAUCACUCAAAGAUGAUCCCGCGUUGUAUUAGCUAGUUGGUGAGGUAAAGGCUCACCAAGGCGAUGAUACAUAGCCGACCUGAGAGGGUGAUCGGCCACAUUGGGACUGAGACACGGCCCAAACUCCUACAGGAGGCAGCAGUAGGGAAUCUUCGGCAAUGGACGAAAGUCUGACCGAGCAACGCCGCGUGAGUGAAGAAGGUUUUCGGAUCGUAAAACUCUGUUGGUAGAGAAGAACGUUGGUGAGAGUGGAAAGCUCAUCAAGUGACGGUAACUACCCAGAAAGGGACGGCUAACUACGUG
RNAcentral lists this ribosomal RNA (497 nucleotides) under uncultured bacterium. RNAcentral's name for it is "partial 16S ribosomal RNA". It matches the Rfam family "Bacterial small subunit ribosomal RNA", at positions 28 to 507 of the family's 1533-position model. The record is from RNAcentral.